RNAcentral lists this ribosomal RNA (450 nucleotides) under uncultured bacterium. RNAcentral's name for it is "partial 16S ribosomal RNA". It matches the Rfam family "Bacterial small subunit ribosomal RNA", at positions 354 to 796 of the family's 1533-position model. The record is from RNAcentral.
GUGGGGAAUUUUGGACAAUGGGCGCAAGCCUGAUCCAGCAAUGCCGCGUGUGUGAAGAAGGCCUUCGGGUUGUAAAGCACUUUUGGCAGGAAAGAAAUAGCGCGUGCUAAUACCAUGCGCGAAUGACGGUACCUGCAGAAUAAGCACCGGCUAACUACGUGCCAGCAGCCGCGGUAAGACGUAGGGUGCAAGCGUUAAUCGGAAUUACUGGGCGUAAAGCGUGCGCAGGCGGUUUUGUAAGACAGGUGUGAAAUCCCCGGGCUCAACCUGGGAACUGCACUUGUGACUGCAAGGCUAGAGUGUGUCAGAGGGAGGUGGAAUUCCGCGUGUAGCAGUGAAAUGCGUAGAGAUGCGGAGGAACACCGAUGGCGAAGGCAGCCUCCUGGGAUAACACUGACGCUCAGGCACGAAAGCGUGGGGAGCAAACAGGAUUAGAAACCCCAGUAGUCC